This 442-nucleotide ribosomal RNA is filed under the name uncultured bacterium. RNAcentral describes it as "partial 16S ribosomal RNA". It matches the Rfam family "Bacterial small subunit ribosomal RNA", at positions 338 to 795 of the family's 1533-position model. The record is from RNAcentral.
CCUACGGGAGGCAGCAGUGGGGGAUAUUGCACAAUGGGGGAAACCCUGAUGCAGCGACGCCGCGUGAGCGAAGAAGUAUUUCGGUAUGUAAAGCUCUAUCAGCAGGGAAGAAGAAAUGGCGGUACCUGAGUAAGAAGCACCGGCGAAAUACGUGACAGCAGCCGCGGUAAUGCGUAGGGCGCAAGCGUUAUCCGGAUUUACUGGGUGUAAAGGGAGCGCAGGCGGGACGGCAAGCGUGGUGUGAAAGCCCGGGGCCCAACCGCGGGACUGCAUUGGGAACUGCCGGGCUGGAGUGCCGGAGAGGUAGGCGGAAUUCCUAGUGUAGCGGUGAAAUGCGUAGAUAUUAGGAGGAACACCAGUGGCGAAGGCGGCCUACUGGACGGUGACUGACGCUGAGGCUCGAAAGCGUGGGGAGCAAACAGGAUUAGAUACCCGAGUAGUC